CUAGUGCAACAAGAAUGGAACAUGAAAGUCAAGAGGGGAAAACUUGGUAGACCUAGGAAAAUUGCACACAACAUAAUAUAUGGAGAUGAAAUUGCACAAUACAAUAAGUUGUGGGACUAUGGGCAUGAGUUGAGGAGAUCUAAUCCAGGCAGCACUUUCUUUGUUGAGCUUGCCAAUGAUGGUCAAUUUAGGAAAUGUUACUUCUCAUUUGAUGCAUGCAAGAGGGGUUUUUUAUCAUCUUGUAGGCCAGUUCUCUUUCUUGAUGGAACCCAUUUGAAGACCCAAUUUGGAGGCAUUCUCUUGACAGCUAUUGGAAUGGACCCCAAUGAUUGCAUCUUUCCAAUAGCUUUUGGUGUUGUCGAAGUUGAG
RNAcentral lists this ribosomal RNA (369 nucleotides) under Triticum aestivum (bread wheat). RNAcentral describes it as "partial small subunit ribosomal RNA". The record is from RNAcentral. Lineage: Eukaryota; Viridiplantae; Streptophyta; Magnoliopsida; Poales; Poaceae.